UGCAUUUGGAAUUGGCAGGUUGAAGUCUCGUAGAGGGAGGUAGAAUUCCAGGUGUUGCGGUGAAAUGCGUAGGGAUCUGGAGGAAUACCGGGUGGGAAGGGGGCCUCCUGGACGAAGACUGACGUUCAGUGCGAAAGCGUGGGGAGCAAACAGGAUUAGAUACCCUGGUAGUCCACGCCGUAAACGAGGUCGGUUUGGAGGUAGUGCCCUUGAGCCGUUGAUUCUGGAGAUAACGCGUUAAAUCGACCGCCUGGGGAGUACGGCCGCAAGGUUAAAACUCAAAGAAUUGACGGGGGCCCGCACAAGCGGUGGGGCAUGUGGUUUAAUUCGAUGCAACGCGAAGAACCUUACCUGGUCUUGACAUCCUCAGAACCUGGCAGAGAUGCUGGGGUGCCUUCGGGAACUGUGAGACAGGUGCUGCAUGGCUGUUGUCAGCUUGUGUUGUGAAAUGUUGGGUUAAGUCCCGCAAAGAGCGCAACCCUUAUCCUUUGUUGCCAGCGGUCCGGCCGGGAACUCAAAGGAGACUGCCAGUGAUAAACUGGAGGAAGGGGGGGAUGACGUCAAGUCAUCAUGGCCCUUACGACCAGGGUUACACACGUGUUACAAUGGCGCAUACAAAGAGAAGCGACCUCGCGAGAGCAAGCGGACCUCAUAAAGUGCGUUGUAGUCCGGAUUGGAGUUUGCAACUCGACUCCAUGAAGUGGGAAUCGUUAGUAAUCGUGAAUCAGAAUGUCACGGUGAAUACGUUCCCGGCCCUUGUACACGCCCCCCGUCACACCAUGGGAGUGGGAUGCAAAAGAAUUAGGUAGGUUAACCUUCGGGAGGGCGCUUCCCAAUUUGUGACUCAUGACUGGGGUGAAGUCGUAACAAGGUAACC
RNAcentral lists this ribosomal RNA (877 nucleotides) under Enterobacter sp. Its description in RNAcentral is "bacterial SSU rRNA". It matches the Rfam family "Bacterial small subunit ribosomal RNA", at positions 622 to 1501 of the family's 1533-position model. Lineage: Bacteria; Pseudomonadati; Pseudomonadota; Gammaproteobacteria; Enterobacterales; Enterobacteriaceae. The record is from RNAcentral.